This 1872-nucleotide ribosomal RNA is filed under the name Triticum aestivum (bread wheat). Its description in RNAcentral is "partial small subunit ribosomal RNA". The record is from RNAcentral. Lineage: Eukaryota; Viridiplantae; Streptophyta; Magnoliopsida; Poales; Poaceae.
AUGACUGCCUAUGGUCGACUUACGACACAAUCCCAAACUGGGAUGAAAUAUCUGCAACAUCUGUCGUCCAGAAUUAUGUCACUGAUGUGUACGACGUGCCAUCAGCUGUUAUGCAAAAUGCAGCAACCUUACACCCCUCCAUUCCUAUUCGCCGAUUCUUUCUCAGGCUUUGUACAAGGGUUGGCAAGUUAUAGUGUCUCACUUGUUGCUACAGAAAAUGCAACUCUUACACCUAUCCUGAAUGCCAUGGAGAUGUACUUGGUGGAACCGAUAACUGAGGUCGCUACUGAUAGUGGAGAUGCUAGAGCCAUGAUGUCAAUCCAGGAGAAUUUUGGCGUGGAGAAAAACUGGAUGGGUGAUCCAUGUGCUCCAAAAGCUUUUGCAUGGAUAGGAUUAACCUGCUCCUAUCCUCCAGCUCAUGCCUCUAAAAUAACAGCAUUAAAUGUGUCUUCCUUUGGGUUGGCUGGUACCAUCUCUACUGAUUUUGGAGAUCUGAAUGCACUUCAGUACCUGGAUCUGUCAAACAACAACUUGUCUGGCACCAUUCCAAAUUUUCUUGGGCAACUUCCAUUUCUAAUAUUUCUGGAUCUGUCCAGCAAUGAUCUAUAUGGAACAAUCCCUGACAGUCUUCAAAAAUCCCAAAAUGGGACUCUGUCGUUAAGGGUUGGUAAUAAUGCAAAUAUAUGUGCCAAUGGUACUGCCUGUGGAUCAAGUCGAAAGAAAAUUAAUGGGGCACUUCUUGCUGCAAUAGUUAUUCCAAUCGUUGCUGUCAUUGCAAUAUUUGUUGUAUUAUUUCUUCUGCUACGCCAAAAGCUCAAGGGAAAAGAUAAGAGAAAAGCUACUGGUCCUGAAGAUGAAUCUGCGUUACUUGAGAACCGAGAAUUUUCUUACAGAGAACUGAAGUAUAUUACAAGCAACUAUAGCCAAGAGAUUGGCAAGGGCGGGUUUGGAGCUGUCUUCCUUGGCUACCUGAAGAACGGAAACUCAGUUGCUGUGAAAGUGCGUUCUGAUUCAUCUUCACAAGGGGGUAAAGAGUUUCUGGCUGAGGCUCGGCACUUGACAAGGAUUCAUCACAAGAACUUGGUUUCCUUGAUUGGCUACUGCAAGGACAAAAAUCAUCUAGCCCUUGUUUACGUGUACAUGCCCAAAGGGAACCUGCAGAAUCAUCUGAGAGGUUCUACUAGUAAACCACUCACUUGGGAGCAGCGUCUUCACAUCGCCCUUGAUGCUGCACAAGGUCUGGAGUAUCUGCAUAUCGCGUGUAAACCAGCAUUGAUCCACAGAGAUGUGAAGAGUACCAACAUCCUGCUGACCACAGAUCUUGGGGCUAAGAUUGCUGAUUUUGGCCUGACCAAGGCUUUCGGCGACUCGAAAACACAUAUAACCACUGAACCAGCUGGUACUAUGGGCUACUUAGAUCCCGAGUACUUCUGCAGUUAUCACAUCAGUGAGAAGAGCGACGUGUACAGCUUUGGCGUCGUACUCCUAGAGCUCAUCACAGGCCGUCCUCCUAUCAUCCCGGUCAGCGACAGCGUGAGUGUCCACGUCGGCGAGUGGGUGCAGCAGAGCCUUGACCACGGCGCCAUGGAGAGCAUUGUGGAUGCAAGAAUGGUUGGGGAUUAUGACAUGAACUCUGUCUGGAAAGCUGCUGGCCUGGCGCUGCAUUGCAAGCUAGAGGUCUCAAGGGAGCGUCCGACGAUGGCAGAGGUGGUGGCGCAGCUUAAGGAGUGCUUGGAGCUCGAGAACCGUCUUGACGGGAGGCAAAGAAGCUUGGGCUCGAACUUUCCUAGGGAGGGAAGUGCACUUGAGGCAGAAGAAGAACAACAAGGUGGGGAUAUACAAGCUGUUGCUGCUGGUCCUGCAAUGAGAUAG